RNAcentral lists this transfer RNA (63 nucleotides) under Pachycondyla annamita. Its description in RNAcentral is "tRNA-Cys". The record is from RNAcentral. Lineage: Eukaryota; Metazoa; Arthropoda; Insecta; Hymenoptera; Formicidae.
AAUUUUAUAGUUUAAUAAAAACAUUAAAGUGCAACUUUAAAAUUAUUUAAUUAAUUAAAAUUU